GGAACCUUUAAUGCUAGUCCUGUGAGGCUGGGAAGGUAUGUAUAGAAUGUUAGUCUAUAUUGGUGUAUUAUACCUUCCUGUAAAAGGGAAGGUUUUUUUAUU
Molecule: non-coding RNA, 102 nt
Organism: Clostridium sp. DMHC 10
Lineage: Bacteria; Bacillati; Bacillota; Clostridia; Eubacteriales; Clostridiaceae
Source: Rfam